GGGGCGUGCUGGUUCAGCUCGGAUCAAGCCUCGCGCACGUCUUCCAAACUGAUCACGCGGGUUCGAUUCCCGUCAUCCCCUCCA
RNAcentral lists this transfer RNA (84 nucleotides) under Leifsonia naganoensis. RNAcentral's name for it is "tRNA-Gly". The record is from RNAcentral. Lineage: Bacteria; Bacillati; Actinomycetota; Actinomycetes; Micrococcales; Microbacteriaceae.